UACUAAUAAAGCGCCUGGACCAUCUUAGGAUGGUUGACGAGGAAGAAGUUUAUCGAAAUAUUCGGCGGGUACUUCUCGGUCGCUGUAUGACCGAAAAAAGAUGCAAAAACCAGACGUAAGUCUGCAACAAAUCAU
Molecule: non-coding RNA, 135 nt
Filed under: human gut metagenome
Description: glmS glucosamine-6-phosphate activated ribozyme
Rfam family: glmS glucosamine-6-phosphate activated ribozyme aptamer
About the family: This entry contains a glucosamine-6-phosphate activated ribozyme that is found in the mRNA for GlmS.
Source: RNAcentral